GACGAACGCUGGCGGCGUGCUUAACACAUGCAAGUCGAACGGAAAGGCUCCAGCUUGCUGGAGUGCUCGAGUGGCGAACGGGUGAGUAACACGUGGGUAAUCUGCCCUGCACUCUGGGAUAAGCCUGGGAAACUGGGUCUAAUACUGGAUAUGACCUUUCUCCUUAUGGGGUUUGGUGGAAAGUUUUUCGGUGUAGGAUGAGCCCGCGGCCUAUCAGCUUGUUGGUGGGGUGAUGGCCUACCAAGGCGACGACGGGUAGCCGGCCUGAGAGGGUGAUCGGCCACAUUGGGACUGAGAUACGGCCCAGACUCCUACGGGAGGCAGCAGGGGGGAAUAUUGCACAAGUGGCGGAAGCCUGAUGCAGCGACGCCGCGGGGGGGAUGACGGCCUUCGGGUUGUAAACCUCUUUCAGCAGGGACGAAGCGUAAGUGACGGUACCUGCAGAAGAAGCACCGGCUAACUAUGUGC
Molecule: ribosomal RNA, 468 nt
Filed under: uncultured bacterium
Lineage: Bacteria
Description: partial 16S ribosomal RNA
Rfam family: Bacterial small subunit ribosomal RNA
Source: RNAcentral